UGCUUGGGGAGUUGGCACGGUAACUGCUUUAAGGAAUUCACAAUUUAAAUAAAGCGCGAUCUUCAACGAAGAAGACUGCACUUCCCGACAGAACGGGACUUGGACAAAGGCGUCCUCGCUAGGCAACUAGCGGGACGCC
Vibrio sp. is the source of this 139-nucleotide non-coding RNA. NCBI's taxonomy places the organism in Bacteria, Pseudomonadati, Pseudomonadota, Gammaproteobacteria, Vibrionales, Vibrionaceae. The record is from Rfam.